CCUCUGGAUGACGAAGAGAUGGUCUCGUACAUCCUUACUGGACUGGAUGUUGAUUUCAAUCCGAUCGUGUCAGCCAUUGUAGCACGGGUUGAACCUGUGUCAGUCAGCGAGCUGUACGCUCAGUUGUUAAGCUUCGAAA
Small nucleolar RNA from Phragmites australis (common reed), 139 nucleotides. RefSeq annotates it as small nucleolar RNA Z247. The record is from RefSeq and is a predicted model, not a curated record. Lineage: Eukaryota; Viridiplantae; Streptophyta; Magnoliopsida; Poales; Poaceae. The transcript has a single exon.